RNAcentral lists this transfer RNA (74 nucleotides) under Tenacibaculum phage Gundel_1. It matches the Rfam family "tRNA". Rfam says of the family: Transfer RNA (tRNA) molecules are approximately 80 nucleotides in length. Lineage: Duplodnaviria; Heunggongvirae; Uroviricota; Caudoviricetes; Pachyviridae. The record is from Rfam by way of RNAcentral.
GUUUUCGUAGUCAAGCGGUCCAAGACAGAUGAUUGCAACCCUGAAGGUCACCAGUUCGAAUCUGGUCGAAAACU